GGAGCCGUAGCGAAAGCGAGUUUUAACUGAGCGUUCAGUUACUUGACGUAGACCCGAAACCGGGCGACCUACCCAUGAGCAGGAUGAAGCGAAAGUAAAAUUUCGUGGAGGUCCGAACCCACGAGCGUUGAAAAGCUCGGGGAUGACUUGUGGGUAGCGGUGAAAUUCCAAUCGAGCCCGGAGAUAGCUGGUUCUCCCCGAAAUAGCUUUAGGGCUAGCCUCAAGGUGAGAGAUACGGAGGUAGAGCACUGAAUGUCCUAGGGGGUAUUGCACCUACCGAAGACUAUCAAACUCCGAAUGCCGUCAUCUUAUACUUGGGAGUCAGACUGUGGGUGAUAAGAUUCAUAGUCGAAAGGGCAACAGCCCAGAUCGUCAGCUAAGGUCCCUAAAUGUAAGUUAAGUGGUAAAGGAUGUGGGAUUGCACAGACAACCAGGAUGUUGGCUUAGAAGCAGCCACUCAUUCAAAGAGUGCGUAAUAGCUCACUGGUCGAGUGAUCCUGCGCCGAAGAUUUCCGGGGCUAAAACUUACUACCGAAGCUACGGCAUCAGUAAUGAUGGGUAGGGGAGCUUCCCAUACGGGUUGAAGCAUGACCGUAAGGACAUGUGGACAGUAUGGGAGUGAGAAUGUUGGCAUGAGUAGCGAGAUGUGGGU
This 652-nucleotide ribosomal RNA is filed under the name Clostridium sp. HMSC19B04. RNAcentral's name for it is "bacterial LSU rRNA". It matches the Rfam family "Bacterial large subunit ribosomal RNA", at positions 662 to 1322 of the family's 2925-position model. Lineage: Bacteria; Bacillati; Bacillota; Clostridia; Eubacteriales; Clostridiaceae. The record is from RNAcentral.